UUUUUAUAUGAUGAAGUACUACAGCUGUACGGUUUCGCCUAAUGGCCAAAUUGUCAUUUUAUCGUACACUUUCCUACGAGCGAAUUGGUGUGACAGGUUGCCUUUUUUCCCGUAAGUACUGUCGCCUUAGUAAAUAGUCCCAUCGAACAAGGUGACUGCCCAGACGGGCAAAUACUCUAAUGGGCCAAUCCAUUGAAAAACGUCAUCAGUAGCUUUUUUUUUUAGUGUUCGAAAAGACCCGCCCUACUGUUGCUAUCGACGUGGUACACAGCGGGCAGCAUAGUGAACAAGAGACCAUGCCCUGUACAAAAAACCUUGUGUCCGCGAUCCUCGUCGUGCUUACACAUUGAAGGGGUUUGACGGAAAGCAGAGCUUGAUGAUAUUCGACUAACGAUAGAUCUACGAGCGUCUACUCAUCGGAUAGUUCAUCAGCAUUGACACCAUGUGCAAUAAACAUCUAUCAGCGAACGCAAUUGCUCGUCAGCUCGCCUGUAUGACCAUACAUAGACACUUUGAAAUAGAUAUAGCAAACAACUGGAACUUUUUAAUUUGUCAUUGAACGUCAGUGGAACUUCGAAUGCCCUCCAUCAUCAUCAUGCAGCUCUUGCGGGAGGAUUGGUGCGUAUCGCUACCCAGAAGCAUUGUACGCUACGGAUCGUCUCAGUUUCGCUCAGGUGGCUCUUCUCGCCAUCCGUCCACCACUUUCUCAGAUCGAACAACUGCACUGACCUCUCGGUUAUUUUCGUGAAAGGAAACCUCAGACAUUUGCGGAAGGCGUCAUGUGUUCACAGCACCCACGGUAGCGGUAAUGCACAGUCAUUUAGAAUAAUCGAAGGACACGUCGAAACAAUAGCAGCGGUCGCAAUAAGCAUUGUCGUCGUCUUCGUCACAUUAAAGGAAAAAAAACUUCUACCCGAAUCUUUUUUUCGUGCACGCGUGUCUGAAGACAACAUCGUCGAGCGCAGGAGAAUGGGGGCGUACCGAUCGAGAUCGAAAAACCAUACAAGCUGUAGAGACAGGGUACCAACAAAAACAUAGUUCAACAUAGCACUGUGCCUGUGUGAAAAAACAACAUGGAGCAAAUGGAUAGAAAAACGCUAACGAUAAAGCAGCUGGCCAAGGCAAGGCCUUGUCUCGCAGCGCAGGAACAGCAAGUUGUUCACGCAAUAACAAAGAGGGAUGAUUCGACCUUUGUAAAUCAUGGAGUUCAGAACGACAAAGAGGCAGUGAAGUAGGACUUCGCAUACGUUUUUACGAUCGCUCGUAACCAGCUCGAGCGAGAUCAACGGAAACGAAUCCCGUUCGCUAACAUGUGAUGGCGGUGCACGAUGUCAAAAAGAGCCUCUAAGAAUAGGAAAGACUGUGCCUUCAUAGGCUCGCUACGUCUAUGGACGCAGCUCACCUGAGGCAACUCGUAUUUGGAACUUCAGCGGUCUCAAUAAAAUAUCCGUUUGUAUGAUUGUGUCUGAUCUGAUAUUUAUAGUCACUCUACCAGGCUCAGAGGAUAUUCUGUCAGGCAGUUUUUAAUAAAUGA
Molecule: long non-coding RNA, 1534 nt
Organism: Varroa destructor (honeybee mite)
Lineage: Eukaryota; Metazoa; Arthropoda; Arachnida; Mesostigmata; Varroidae
Source: RefSeq, a predicted model, not a curated record